RNAcentral lists this long non-coding RNA (257 nucleotides) under Anser brachyrhynchus (Pink-footed goose). RNAcentral describes it as "lncRNA (ENSABRG00000016976.1)". Lineage: Eukaryota; Metazoa; Chordata; Aves; Anseriformes; Anatidae. The record is from RNAcentral.
UACUUGCAAGCAUCUCGCCUGUACAACUCCAUGUUACCUUUUCAAAACAAAGGCAAAUAUUUAGGGAAAAAUAACACCACACCAAACAAAUAAACAAAAACCAAAUAGACCUCUAGAAUGAUUUCAGACGGUGAUUAAUUGUGAAGGCAAAGUCCUAAAGAAGUCUCAAACACAAAGUAAAAGAAAGAGGAUGUGGCCCAGAGGAUCUGUCCUCAGCAGAAAAAAAGAGUAGGAUUUAACGCCUCUUAUAAAAUUCA